This 465-nucleotide ribosomal RNA is filed under the name uncultured bacterium. RNAcentral describes it as "partial 16S ribosomal RNA". It matches the Rfam family "Bacterial small subunit ribosomal RNA", at positions 28 to 507 of the family's 1533-position model. The record is from RNAcentral.
GACGAACGCUGGCGGCGUGCUUAACACAUGCAAGUCGAACGGAAAGGCCCUGCUUGCAGGGUACUCGAGUGGCGAACGGGUGGGUAACACGUGGGUGAUCUGCCCUGCACUUCGUGAUAAGCCUGGGAAACUGGGUCUAAUACCGGAUAGGAGCCAUUUUUUGUGGGAUGGUGGGAAAGUUUUUUCGGUGUAGGAUGAGCUCGCGGCCCAUCCGCUUGGUGGUGGGGUAAUGGUCUACCAAGGCGGCGACGGGUAGCCGGCCUGAGAGGGUGGACGGCCACAUUGGGGCCGAGAUACGGCCCAGGCUCCUACGGGGGGCAGCUGGGGGGAAUAUUGCACAAUGGGCGCAAGCCUGAUGCAGCGGGGCCGCGUGGGGGAUGACGGCCUUCUGGUUGGAAACUGCUUUCGCUAGGGACGAAGCUUGUUGUGACGGUACCUAGAUAAGAAGCACCGGCUAACUACGUG